UGGCAGUGGAUAGCUCCUUUGA
RNAcentral lists this microRNA (22 nucleotides) under Caenorhabditis brenneri. RNAcentral describes it as "cbn-miR-7638". The record is from miRBase by way of RNAcentral. Lineage: Eukaryota; Metazoa; Nematoda; Chromadorea; Rhabditida; Rhabditidae.